CUCUCAAUUCUAAAUAAAAGUAUCGCUUUCACAGCUACAAAACACAAACUCUCCGCCCCGCCGAUCCCCGCCGCCGCCUCACGAGGGCGGCUUCGCCCCCGACCCAAGAUGGCGGCCGGGGAGCGCGGCGGGGGCGGUGUUCUGACGGCUCCAAGAUGGCGGCGGGGGCUGGCGGGACUACAGCUCCCACAGCGCUGUGCGCUGCUCUCCAUCCCGCACAGCGGCGCGGCCCUGGGGCGGUGCUGCCCGUCGCCCGGUGUGCUGAGCUCAGCGAAGGCCGCACCGAUGUCUCUCUCCGAGCUGGACAAGCCCGACUCCCUCAGCCUUUCCUCAGUAGAAAGGUGCUGUCAUGGAAGGCACCACCCGGGCUCAGCCAGCAGGGCAUGCUACUCUGUAGUAUGACUCAAAGCCAUUUUAGAAAGAAACAUCCAGGAACAAAUCGUCCUGUGCAGUCCAUCAGCCAGGUUCAUUCCCUUCUUUCCCUUCCUGCUUCACAAACUGGAGAGAAACACCUGAAAAAUCCCCUCUGGUCCCUCAGCAUCUGGCUGUCCUUAACUUGUGGUGAGCAACCAAGAAAGGAAAAAGCCCUCCAAACCAUGUAUUUAUUGAGCGUGUUGGAGCGUGUUGAGUAGGUUGAGAUCCCUUGUUUAUCCCUAUUCUUUCAGCAGGAUUGUUUGGGCCUAGCAAGGCUUGGCAAGAUCAUGUGUAAAUAGGAGAGGGUACCAGAAGGAAAUGAAGCUGGAUGGUUGGGCAGUGUGCUCAUUUCUUUGGCAGCACAGUGCAUGGGAAGCUUGUCACAGCAGGCAUUGUAACACACAGGGAUGUUCCUUUUGGUCCUGUGGACUGAUGUCAGUUUUUUCAGUACUCUCGAUCCCUACUCUGAUUUUUUUUUUCCCCCCAGAAUUUAGUUGGAAUUAACACCAUGACCCAUUUGCCCACAUGGAAGGCGCAGACGCUUUAUAUCCUCAGUCUCUCCCCAAGCUCCUAUUCCAUUUGAAACUCCUGGCCAUUGAAUGUCACCUUCCACUCCUGCACAUCGAAUAUGUCCCAACUCCUCUUCAUAUGCACAUGUGUCAAGACUAGAAAUGUGUCAAAGUAAGGAAGCAGCUGACAAUCCUUUCAAGUUUCCUUUGUUUUCUUAAUGUAAUUAUCUCCUAAUAGUUGAUUCUUUCUUGUAAAUUUUCUGUUCUAGGAACUAUAUAAUAUGGUGCAUCAUUAGCAGCUCACUGUAAUGAAGGUGGCACUGGAAUGAACAUCAAAUUUGUCUCUUCCUGCCAUCUCCAUUUAUAUGUUCCGUUAGAAAUGACAAAAUCCAUACAAUCUCACAUCUCACUGAAUUUUCUUUGCAGGGUUUCCCUGCAGGGCUGUCUCUCAGCAUGAAGGAUAAGGCAGGGUAGUAUCAACCUGUAAUAUUGCAUUUCUGAUACUUCCUCGUUACAUAUCCAUUACUCAGCACUGAUGCAGACAAGAUGCUGGGCUAGGUGUGACCUAUCCACAGAUCUAUCUUUCCUGAGCCUAUAUCCACAAAUAUACCUCUUAUCUAAUCCUGGUUAUCUAUAUUUUUCGACAAGGUCCUGAACACCUGAGAUGCUGAGUGAAGUGUUUUGAAUAGGAUGGCAGGAUUCACUCAGCACCCAAAGUGUGCACCUGCUUGCGAAGCCUGUCCACGUGCAGUAGUUUGUGAUACACCAGAGGAAAGAAAUCCCACCCAAUAUUUAUUUUCCUGGCAAACAGACUGGAGUGGAUGCCAGAGGAGGAAGAAUCAACAGCCUCGAUCCCAAGGCUUUGGUACCCUUCCCUUACCUGGGCUUUUGCCUUCACCAGGGACCACCGUUCUGUUGCAGAGAAGGAUUUGUCUUUGGAUCAAAGGAUAAUAAUCACUGUAGACCAUGCCAACCUCGGUUACUGCUAUUAUGGCCAGUUUCUGGUCAGUACUGAAAGCUUUAAGCUCGUCCUUGCCAUUAGAUGGCAAUGUAGAUCCACAAAUCUUCCUUCCUUGAGCCCCUGGAAAACCAUCUUGCUGCUGGUGGGUAGAACCUCAAAUCCUGUUUCCGCCUACUUCACCAUUUAAGACUGAAGCGUCCUGGAUUUGUUUUGCCUACAAACAAAUGGAGCUGUCUGCCUGGGAGGCCGGCUCCUCUAGAGUCCCCAGUGGCAUGAGUGCUUGCUUUCCGCACUGAGGGCCCCCCUUUGUGCACAGAGGUUUGUUUUUUCACUCUUCCAGCAGUUAAUUCAUCUCUUGUUUUGCUAUUUCCACAAGACAUUUUGCUAUCUUGCUUGUUUCUCAGCUUACUGCCAAACCUGGCAGGCGAAUGAGUCAUGGGCUGCCGCAGGCCAAACCCCGGAGCAUACAGACUGCUUCCUAGGGUCAUGAAUCUCCCAUCUGGGACGUUAUAAAGAACUGCAGCAAGAAAUAACUACACUGCAAAAUGCUUUUCCCCAUAUCCAUUUUUCAGCUUUCCAUUGUUUGCAGUUGACUGGUUCAUUUAACAUGGGCCUUACCGCUUUUUAUUCUUUUUCCUUCACAUUUCCCUUUUCCACCAGAAAAUGUCACCAGCUCACAUCCAACUUACAAGCAGAAAAAUCUCAGUUCCAAACCCAAGCAAGUUUCCUCCUUCAAAGCUGAAGAUACACAGCUUUUUGGGACGCCUAUUUUAACGCCCAUCCCAGAGUCCAGCAGCCCCCACCACAGCAAUAUUGAUGCAGGGCAAAAGCAAGGGAAGUCGUGGGGCCUUUUGGAGUCAAAUACACGCACCACAGCAGGAUCUGUCUGGCUUGGUAACUUCAGUAGUAUUAGUGGUAGAAAUCCUUGUUUGUACCAAGGAGGAUGCAAGCAGGAUCAACCCCCCUUUUUGUGACAUUUUAAAAAAAAUCUGUUAUGUUGCUGAAGCAGAUGGAUCACUCCUGCCUGUUGUCUGGAGCAGGGCAGGAUGAAAAGGCAUUUUACCCUUGCCAGCCAAGAAUGGGAGAUGGUGGAUGGGAAUCCAAUGGAACAGAGACGAUGUCCAGCCUUCAAGCACAGGCAGACAACAGGGCAGGGUGAAUGCAAAGACUGUCAUCUUGCCCCCAUCGCUCACAUCUCCCAAUCUGUGUUACUGUAAGCGCCUUCUAGUUUUUCUGUGUUUUAAAUGGCCUAAACAAUGAGGAAUUUGCCCUUAUUCCGAGGAGAGAAUUGCUCCUCCUUCACAGAAAGGCCCUCUUUAUUCCUGGUGCACAAGAUGUUAAUGGUGUUUCUAAGCACUCUAGCAGAUGUGAGCAGCAUGCUGGAGAUAAGUUAUAUCAGAAGAAGUGUUAUCACUUGAGCUUACAUGUUUUGUGCUUUUCCAUUGCACUCUAAAAUGCUGUUGCAUUUAAUUAGCCAUUUUUCAAAGCAUUUAUUAUUCAUUUAUUAGCUCUUUGUUCAUUUGCUGUAGAUGUAUCUUGACAUCUAAAGCUAGCCCAGUCAUUUUAUAACCAAGUGCUGGGUGAUAUAGAAAAGGCCUUACUCAUCCUUCUUAUCUGCAAAGCACUUGGCACAUGGUGGUACAGCUCUAGCUGGGGCCUUUGGGUAUUCCAGGAAUAUAAAUACCAGCACCUUAAGCUGCCCCAUUGCCUAGGAUAUCAGGAGCACUGGAUGAAUUGAGUGGCAGGUUGCAUUUUGGACUGGAGUUUUCUAGCUGUAGGUUAUCGCUGUCAAACCUUGGGAUUCACUGCCAGCGGAAUGAACCCUUCCCAGCCCUGUGCUCCCGAGCAGCCAGUGUGGCUUCAGAGCUCACACCACUGCACCUCCCUCUGCACUGCUGAGUAAUGGAGCAGGAGAGCAAUCAUAGCAUAGAGAACUCUCCCACAGGAUUGUGGAUAUAGGGAAAUUUAACACAAAACUCUCCUUCGGUACCUAGUGACACACAGCUGUGGGCACAACGUGGUAAACCUGGCCAGUCAUCUCUAAUACCUCAUUCCUUGUUUUCUGUCUUUCUAACCACAGACUCACCCUAAGCAAACAGAAAAAAGGAAGAAGAGUAAAAUUUUCAGCUUUACCAUGAGUGCUGGGUUCAGAUGGUGUCAGGAAUCAGCAAAGCAUCUCCCUUACCUGAAAGGGCAGAGCUGACAGACUGCUUUCCUCAAAGACUUAUAGGCAGGGGAAUCAGGGCUGUAUUUUUCCCAGAUGCUGCAAUUUCCAUAUGACUGCUACCAAGAAAUGGAGAAACCUUUCUAUCCUCCUUGAGAAACAUCCCACUUUUUUGUCUUCCUCUGCAAGCACAGCAGGUAGCAAAACACAGCCAUUGCCAAAAAAAAAAAAAAAAAAAGGCUAAGAAAUAUGUGUCUCUAUUCUGGUAAUAUGAGAAGAUAUUAUAAGGCCUAAGAUUACUUCAACCAACAAAAGACAUGCUAAUGAAGCACCUAAUUUAAGCAGGUGUUUCUCUUUUGCUGCAGUCAAUGGAGUAUAGAGGAGGAGAGAGCAGAGGAGGAGACUUUAUUUUAUUAAAUGCUGUUGCUUUAGUCCUUAAAAAAAAAAUCAUAGCCCACCUAGGUUUUAAAUAGCUUUUGAGGCUUUCCUAAUGAAUGUUUCUCAAGUGUUUGCACAUUUUCUGUUUGCCCUCACUAUGAGGAAAUGCUUAAGUCAAUAGGAUUUUAUUUGAUUUGUAAAUAAUGCCAGGGCGACACAUUAUUGCAGAUUCUCAGAACUCUGACUCCAUGUCUUGUCCUCCAGAUAUGACAUGCCAGAGAUAUCGCCCAAUUAGGGCAGGGCAGAGGAUGAGGCUUAAAAUAACUUUGAGAAAAGACCAUCUCGAACUUCAUCCUGCACUUCUGUUUAGCCCACAGACCGUCAGGAGCUUGUGAAGUAAUUGCUUUGGACAGAUAAUAAAACAUCCUCCAGCAAAACUAAGGUACUUAAUAUACUGCCCAAGUCAAUUUCCCUUAUUUCUUCUGUCCUCUUGCUUUUAAUAAUGGUUUAAUGAAAAAUUCAAAAUUAAUUGGAACUGGCAUUAGCCAUUCACGUGUUCCAGUGAGGGUUUCACUCCUUCAAUAUUUCAUAAGCUGACUUCACUGCUACGCCUUGCCUUCUCCUGGCUUUCACAGGCUAAAACAUCACCUCUUUUUUAGAGGGGAAUGGCCCCAAAACAGGGUGGGGGCACGUGAGAAAGUUUGCAAUUGCACCAUAGGCAAAGAAAUAAUACAACUAAUUGCUGCUGUGUUUUCCUUUCUUGUGACCAUCCCCACCUUCUAUGUAAUUAUACACAUCUGAGCCUUAUCUGGAAAGAGCUGUCCUAAAAAUAAACAGGAGCCGUCUGAAAGGUGUCUGAGGGAGGUAUCUGGCAGCUGUCAGGCUGUCAUGUAUGCGAGAAGGAUGGAGCUGAUGGACUCGCUGACACCAGACGGGCUCUGCCGAAAUAAGAAUGCCUUAUGCUUCCCUUGGCACUCACUGGGCAAAUUCUGUUGGCUGGAGCCAUUAGACCUCAGCGUGUCUGGGGCGUGAUCCAGGUCCAACUGCCGUCAAUGAGAGUCUGCCCUUGGACGGCAAUGGGAAUUGGAUCAGACCUUGUCUUUACCCCCGAGACUCUGGCAUUACAACAGGGAUAACUUUUGGCUCCUCGAGUGAAUGUCACCCCAAUGGAGAAGGAUGCAACACACUCCAGAUUUGCAGGCUUUUGUAGUUCUCUGAAAAUGCAGCUUUUCACUGAGAUUCCUGACAUGGGAACAAGAGCCCAACUUUAGACUUUUUCUUUUUUUUAACAGCUUUGUACUGCUCUGUGCCUCAGAUUCUCCUCUCUAAUAAUGGUGGUGGUGCCCUGUUGUCAAGAGAAUUAUUGAUAUAUCUGUAGAUCCAUUCUGUUUAUAAACGCUGCCGUGCAGGAGGGCAUGACUGUGCUAAAAGCUGUUCCUAUUUCCCACAAGGUGCUUAAAGGACACGUGUUAACACCAUGCAGCAAUGACACUAUGAGCAUGAAGGCAUGACAUGACUCAUCUCAAGCCUUUGCAGCAACUCAGUGGCAGAGUGAGGACCCAAGAAUUCCGGUCCCCACCAAAACAAUCAUACCUUUACAAUGACUGAAUCUGGAAAGGAGCACUUGCUAGCAGAAGCUUCAUUUCCUAUCAGGUGCACAGGGAAACAUCCCUUGCCUGUAGAAUAGCUGAAUACAUUUGCUGCUGUUAUUGGUGAAGAUAUAAUGUUCGGGGAAGGGAAAGGAGAAAGGAGGUGAGAAAACUGGGCAGAAGUCUUGUUUCUCUAUGGGAGAGGGGACACAUCUCUUGUUCUCAAUGGGAGCUGAUUGCUGCCAUACCUGAAAAUCUGUCUAUUUGUUUCAUUAUCUAAUAGGCAAGAAAAUGCCCUUUUUAGUGAAGAGCAGUGCCUUAGGACAACUAUCUUGCAGUACUUUGGUCUGGAAAUACCAGUCUGUGUUGAGAAGAAUGGACAAGGGAAUUAAUUCCUGUAAUAUGGGCUGCAGGAAAUUACCUACAAGAUAAGAGUGACUUGAUCUUUCUGAGAAAAAGGAAAAAAAAAAAAAAAAGAAAAAAAAAGAAAGCCUUCCUUAUCUUGAUGAUGUUUGCUCUGAAGUAUCAUCUUGUGACUGCCAGAGUCUGCCUUGCGGGAUCGUUCAAUUACAGCCAGCUCCUGCGGCGGGCAUCGCUUCCUUCCUCUGGACGUAUCACUGCAUCUACUGAAGCAGUGCUUGCUCCCCAAGCCUCUGCUAUCGCCUUUCUGCACGGUGAGCCUGCAGCCCCGUGAUGCUAUCUCUGCUCACGUGUUGGGGCAGGAUACGACCAAUACUUCAAUUAGGCAGAGAUCUGCGAGGGACAGGAAACCAAGCCGAUGAACCACCAAGGAGCAUGUGUGAGUCAGUACCAGACCUGUGAUGGUAUGAGGAGCAAUGAAUGAAUCCUAUCCCUUUUGGAGGGUCCCAACCCAUUCUCCUACAAUUCAGACGUCCUAGGGCAAAGCAGCACUGCAGUUCACACCAGCAGGGCUCCGAAUGUCCUUCCGUAUGCUGUGGUUCUCCCCCAUGAGGAAGUUUUCACUAUGCAGAGUAUUUUUCUCUAUUAAAAUGAUUAUGUUAAAUAGCUGAGAGGUUCCUCAAUGUCUACUUUUUGAACUGAGCUAUCCCACACUUGGCAGGUUUUGAGAACAGCAGACAUGAGGUUACUAAACCCAUUCAUUUCUCAAACGCACCCACAUUUCUAAUGGCUACAGAGAUCCAUCUUUAAAGUCCUCUGAGACCCAUUGGAAUGAAGGGCACUUUGUGAGGAUGCAGUAAUUAUUAUGGGAUUUGGAGGUGCAUGGAAAUGAUUCACGGAGGCAUUUCCCAGCCAGUACUCUUGGAGCCAGGUGAGCUCUUCCCUGGAAUGUGAAGCAUGCAGCGCAGCAACUGGGAGGAACAGGUUUGGCAGGACAUUUUAAGCUGUGCACUGCAGACAGCCUCUUCAGAGCCACAUCCCUGCUCUGCCUACCUCCCAGCUGGAUGCUCCUCUCUGCCUCACUGUCUCUGGAGAGCCGGAGAGGAUGGACACACUGCGAAGGAGCCUUUCUCGCUGGAAGAGGUACCACAUUAAGGUGCACUUGGCUGAUGAGGACGUGAUGAUGCCGCUGACCGUCAAGCCCAGAGACACAGUGAUGGACCUACGGGCUUACCUGGUACGGGAGGGCGUCACUUCCUGGAAGAAGACAUUUUAUUACAACUCCAGGCAGCUUGAAGAGCACGAGACUUUGAAAGAGGCCAAUAUCCAGAAUGGUUCAGUGCUGCUCCUUGUCAGCAACAAAAGAUAAUGCCAAAGAGCACAGCAAAAGCCAUGGGAGACGGGGAGCGUGACAAGGGCUGAAAGGAAGCAGAUGGAAGGGAGCCUGGCCAUGGAGCGCAGUGUGGCCACGGGCGCUGCGAGCCAUGUGGUCAAAGCUGCCCAAGGAGAAGCGUGGGUUGGGCUGACUCAGCUCCUGAGGGCAAUGAAUCAGAGUGAAAUGCCCAUGAAAGGGUAAAUUCUGCCUGAGUGGUGAAGCAAGAAGGAGCUGAGGUGGGCUUUGCUGAGGGCCUCUGGUGGGAACGGUGGACUUCUGAGCCCUUGAAGGAUUCCUCAAGAUAGGCUUUGAUUGACACUUCAGAUCUGCCUGACAAUCUUUUAUUCUAAGUGCAGUUGCUGCUUUUCUUCAGAGCAAGAAGAGCAGGUUUGGUUGCUGUCCUUCAAAUGAUGGAUCUUAUCACAUGGGAAAAAGACGAAAAAAAGCAAACCACCUGCAAACAGCCACAGGUGUGGACAAGACUGAGGACUGAAGCUGAAAGGUGUGCAGGCUCCCAUCUUCAUGCCAGCCUGGGCGUACUGUAACGUGGGGACAUCUGCAACUUCAUGCGCUGCACCAUGGAUGGACUUUCUUCUUGUCAGGAGUGUUUGCCUUUGGGAUCCUCCUAUUGUUGGGGCAUCACUGAGAGGAUUACUGUCUGCUCUUUGCUGCUGCAUUCACCUCCACUUGCAGCUGCAGCCAGGCCUUCCCAACCAGCUGCUUUUCCUGAGCUGCAGGAGCAGAAGACAAGCCCAGGCAGGGCCAUCUGUGCAGCUGCUGUGCUCCAGCAGGGCAGUCAGGCUGAGGCACGCUGCAGUUCUGCUUCUCUCCUCUACCCGUGUCGUGGAUGCAUCAAGCACUUCUGUUUACAGGGCCAUCAGUCUGGCAGCUUUCCUCGACACUAAAUUUACUUUUUGAAGUUACAUCAGUGUUGUACCCAGAGGGAAUGGAGGAACAGAUGCAGCCUGUGAAGUCUGGCUUUAAUUCACCUGCCUCAUUUAAUUUCCUGCCCUGCCUUCUAAUCAAUGAGUCUGCACUGGCAGCCCUGGGAAUACAGAGGUUUUCUCACAUACAGGAGAGCUCAAUGUGGUGGGUCUCAGGGUCUCCAGCAGGCCAUGUCCCAUCUCCUUUGAGGUUUUCUCUGCCCCAGAAGCACUGCACACACUGAUGUGGCUGCAUCGCAUUUCCUCCAUUGGGCCAGUGGUGUUCCUUCACCAGGGCUGCAGCAUCGCAUCACCUCAGAGCUGUUCACCUCAGAUACUUGGGACUGUCAGGAAACACUGAAGAAAGGGGCUGGGGCUUUUCUGCUUUGCUGAGCAGGCUCCCACUGUCCUGUUUCUUUUUUUUCCCUUGAGCUCAUGUUAAUUCCAGGCAGCGCUGCCCAGUUGCUUAAUCAGCCAGUGUCAAAACCCUGGGAGAGAUGAAGGCUGCCCUUGGUUGGCAGCACUUAUUUUGUGACGUGUCUGCUUCACCUCAUGUAUUAUAAUCUGUAUCAGAUUGCUCUUUGCUUGCUAAAAUGGACAAUUAGGAUCCAGUUGUAAUGCAAAUUGCACAGUGGAAUAAAAACCAUGGGGAACAAAAUCACAAA
Coturnix japonica (Japanese quail) is the source of this 9338-nucleotide non-coding RNA. NCBI's taxonomy places the organism in Eukaryota, Metazoa, Chordata, Aves, Galliformes, Phasianidae. The record is from RefSeq and is a predicted model, not a curated record.